RNAcentral lists this small RNA (148 nucleotides) under Pongo abelii (Sumatran orangutan). Its description in RNAcentral is "Metazoan signal recognition particle RNA (ENSPPYG00000040115.1)". The record is from Rfam by way of RNAcentral. Lineage: Eukaryota; Metazoa; Chordata; Mammalia; Primates; Hominidae.
GCUGGGUGUGGUGGCGCACACCUGUAAUCCCAGCUACUCAGGAGGCUGAGGCAGGAGAAUUGCUUGAACCCGGGAGACAGAAGUUGCAAUGAGCCAAGAUCACGCCACUGCACUCCGGCCUGGGUGACAGAGCAAGACCAUGUCUCAA